RNAcentral lists this ribosomal RNA (924 nucleotides) under Psychrobacter piscatorii. RNAcentral describes it as "bacterial SSU rRNA". It matches the Rfam family "Bacterial small subunit ribosomal RNA", at positions 57 to 974 of the family's 1533-position model. Lineage: Bacteria; Pseudomonadati; Pseudomonadota; Gammaproteobacteria; Moraxellales; Moraxellaceae. The record is from RNAcentral.
GCAAGUCGAGCGGAAACGAUGAUAGCUUGCUAUCAGGCGUCGAGCGGCGGACGGGUGAGUAAUACUUAGGAAUCUACCUAGUAGUGGGGGAUAGCACGGGGAAACUCGUAUUAAUACCGCAUACGUCCUACGGGAGAAAGGGGGCAACUUGUUGCUCUCGCUAUUAGAUGAGCCUAAGUCGGAUUAGCUAGAUGGKGGGGUAAAGGCCUACCAUGGCGACGAUCUGUAGCUGGUCUGAGAGGAUGAUCAGCCACACCGGGACUGAGACACGGCCCGGACUCCUACGGGAGGCAGCAGUGGGGAAUAUUGGACAAUGGGGGAAACCCUGAUCCAGCCAUGCCGCGUGUGUGAAGAAGGCCUUUUGGUUGUAAAGCACUUUAAGCAGUGAAGAAGACUCUUCGGUUAAUACCCGGAGACGAUGACAUUAGCUGCAGAAUAAGCACCGGCUAACUCUGUGCCAGCAGCCGCGGUAAUACAGAGGGUGCAAGCGUUAAUCGGAAUUACUGGGCGUAAAGCGAGCGUAGGUGGCUUGAUAAGUCAGAUGUGAAAUCCCCGGGCUUAACCUGGGAACUGCAUCUGAAACUGUUAGGCUAGAGUAGGUGAGAGGGAAGUAGAAUUUCAGGUGUAGCGGUGAAAUGCGUAGAGAUCUGAAGGAAUACCGAUGGCGAAGGCAGCUUCCUGGCAUCAUACUGACACUGAGGCUCGAAAGCGUGGGUAGCAAACAGGAUUAGAUACCCUGGUAGUCCACGCCGUAAACGAUGUCUACUAGUCGUUGGGUCCCUUGAGGACUUAGUGACGCAGCUAACGCAAUAAGUAGACCGCCUGGGGAGUACGGCCGCANGGUUAAAACUCAAAUGAAUUGACGGGGGCCCGCACAAGCGGUGGAGCAUGUGGUUUAAUUCGAUGCAACGCGANGAACCUUAC